This 400-nucleotide ribosomal RNA is filed under the name uncultured Clostridium sp. RNAcentral describes it as "bacterial SSU rRNA". It matches the Rfam family "Bacterial small subunit ribosomal RNA", at positions 964 to 1363 of the family's 1533-position model. The record is from RNAcentral. Lineage: Bacteria; Bacillati; Bacillota; Clostridia; Eubacteriales; Clostridiaceae.
UAGAACCUUACCUAGACUUGACAUCUCCUGAAUUACUCUGUAAUGGAGGAAGCCCUUCGGGGCAGGAAGACAGGUGGUGCAUGGUUGUCGUCAGCUCGUGUCGUGAGAUGUUGGGUUAAGUCCCGCAACGAGCGCAACCCUUAUUGUUAGUUGCUACCAUUAAGUUGAGCACUUUAGCGAGACUGCCCGGGUUAACCGGGAGGAAGGUGGGGAUGACGUCAAAUCAUCAUGCCCCUUAUGUCUAGGGCUACACACGUGCUACAAUGGCUGGUACAGAGAGAUGGUAAACCGUGAGGUGGAGCCAAACUUUAAAACCAGUCUCAGUUCGGAUUGUAGGUGAAACUCGCCUACAUGAAGCGGAGUUGCUAGUAAUCGCGAAUCAGAAUCGUCGUAUAGGCAC